CUACGGGCCGCACCAGUGGGGAAUAUUGCACAAUGGGGGAAACCCUGAUGCAGCAACGCCGCGUGGAGGAUGACGCAUUUCGGUGUGUAAACUCCUUUUAUCAAGGAAGAAAUUUGACGGUACUUGAUGAAUAAGCACCGGCUAACUCCGUGCCAGCAGCCGCGGUAAUACGGAGGGUGCAAGCGUUACUCGGAAUCACUGGGCGUAAAGGACGCGUAGGCGGUUUGAUAAGUUGGAUGUGAAAUCCUAUGGCUUAACCAUAGAACUGCAUCCAAAACUGUCAGACUAGAGUGAGGGAGAGGUGAAUGGAAUUAGUGGUGUAGGGGUAAAAUCCGUAGAGAUCACUAGGAAUACUCAUAGCGAAGGCGAUUCACUGGAACUUUACUGACGCUGAGGCGUGAAAGCAUGGGGAGCAAACAGGAUUAGAUACCCCCGUAGUC
RNAcentral lists this ribosomal RNA (440 nucleotides) under uncultured bacterium. RNAcentral's name for it is "partial 16S ribosomal RNA". It matches the Rfam family "Bacterial small subunit ribosomal RNA", at positions 339 to 795 of the family's 1533-position model. The record is from RNAcentral.